RNAcentral lists this ribosomal RNA (301 nucleotides) under uncultured eukaryote. RNAcentral's name for it is "SSU rRNA". It matches the Rfam family "Eukaryotic small subunit ribosomal RNA", at positions 4 to 306 of the family's 1831-position model. The record is from RNAcentral.
CUGGUUGAUCCUGCCAGUAGUCAUAUGCUUGUCUCAAAGAUUAAGCCAUGCAUGUCUAAGUACAAGCCUCAGUAAGGUGAAACCGCGAAUGGCUCAUUAAAUCACACCUAAUCUACUGGAAAGUUACAAGUUACUUGGAUAACUGAGGUAAUUCUUGAGCUAAUACAUGCGAAAAAUCUCGACUCACGGAGAGAUGCUUUUAUUAGAUCAAAACCAAACGGCUUCGGCCGUAACAUUGGUGACUCUGAAUAACUUUGGGCUGAUCGUAUGGCCUUGUGCCGACGACGUUUCCUUCGAAGGG